This 14577-nucleotide long non-coding RNA is filed under the name Mytilus galloprovincialis (Mediterranean mussel). Lineage: Eukaryota; Metazoa; Mollusca; Bivalvia; Mytilida; Mytilidae. The record is from RNAcentral.
GUCAAACCUCAGUCAUCAUGGCUAUUAUAACUUUACUGCUGUUGAGUGUUGUCGGAUCUGCAUUUUGCCAUGGCCCAUAUGGUGGUGGAGGCGGCGGAGGGUACAGUGCUGGGUACGGCAGCGGUGGUGGCGGAGGGCUUGGAUCUGGCGGCGGUGGCGGAGUAUUGUUAUUAGACGGUGGAUUAGGAAGAGGAGGUGGUGUUUGGGGAAAAGGAGGUAAGUUAAUGUUACUGUAUUUUAGUUUUAAACUAUAAUUACGUCAUUUCUUCUUUGAUUUGUAUAUAUUUCAUACUGUGUAAGCUAAUUCCAAAGUUGAUUGCUCUAUCGUUUUUCAAUUUUUUUUCAAGGAUAUGGUGGUGGAAGCGGCGGAGGUUAUAGUGUUGGGUAUGGCGGCGGUGGUGGCGGAGGAUUUGGAUCUGGCAUUGGUGGUGGUGGACUAUUGGUAUUAGGAGGAAGCGGAGGAGGCGGAGGUGGUGGAGGAAAAAAGGGUAAAUAAAUGUUACAGUAUUUUAAUUAUGUAUUACCAGUACGUAAGAAUCUUGUGAAAAUGUACAACUAUAAAACUAACUACAUCAACAUGAUCAAGUUUAAGAGAAGCAAUGUUACCGACAAUUGAUAAAGUACAGCGAGAGUAUAAUUGUUAUAAAAGUAAUGCAUUUAUUGAGCUAAAUCAAUUGCUCUAUGCAUGCUCGUGUACAUCUGUAUGCAUGAAAACCUCAAAUAAAGUUACCAUUUUUCUUUUAAAAUGAUAUUGGAAUUGUAAAAAAAAUAGAUUAUAAACUAACUUUAUAUACCUAUAUGGAGUUAUUUUCUUUCAGAAAGAUAGGUAAUUCUUUCGAAGAAUCAACCCGGACGAUACCAUGUUUCAAAGACAUAUGCUCCAAGGCAUAAAAUAACGACCAGUGUGAGGUCAUUAUUUUCCUUGGUGUAAAUGCAAACUAUAAUUUACUUCAAAAUCAUAUUCGUCUGAUAGUUUUUUGUUGACAAAAAUUCAAUCUAUGAUAGGUGUAAAAAAAAUAGCCCGCAUUUUAAUUCAGAAACAAAUAAUGUGAAGUUUUGUAAAUUUAUCGCUACAAUACAGAGACAUUAGCAUAUAUUAUGUUAGAUGAAUUUUAAUGUUAAACUUUCACAACACUUUCAAAUAAAGCCAUAUAACAUAGUCCUUUGUAUCAUUUUGAAAAUCUUAUUGAUUUAGAUUGAAAAUUAAUUGGUUGCAGGUUGAUCAAUGCCAUGCAUAUUCAGGACUAUACACACUGAAUAGGAAAUCAUACUGUUAGCUACAUGUUUUAUAUUCUUUUUCGUUUAAGGGUGGUACCCAACACUUUCACUAAAAUAAAUUUGGCUCGUUUAAUUUUCAUAAAAUUUUGAUAAAGUAUUUUCUUUGACCCUUUAACAGAAAUAUAAAGAUUUCAAAAAUUUUUAACCAACAGUUUUGUCAGAAAAAUUACAGUAUACUGGACGUAUAUAGGGCAGCUGAAGGUUAUAUAGUUUAGUUUGACAAACACCAUUUUUGAUCAUUGAAAAGCUUAAUAUUCCCUUUACAACACAACGUAAUUAAAACGUUAAGCUGAUUUUACAGAGUUAUCUCCCUGUAGUGUUAGGUACCACCUUAACAUGUACAUGUAUCACUAUUUCAGUCCCCCUUCAUGUCAGUUCUUAAUGUUUUAAAUUUAUGUAUAUCUUUUACUGUAUCAAAUGGUCAACAAAUAAAAUAUUCUUAUAUUAUAUUGUGAAAAAUGCAUGUAUACCUCACCAUGGGAUCGGUAGAGUGGAGUGUAUAUAAUAAUACUAAUUAUCUGUUAAAAAUGUAUUGCCUUUCAAAAGAAGAUCAUUCUGAUUAUUUCAUUCGAUUCAAUGAAAAUUGUUUAAAAAAUAAUCACUUUUCCGCGAUAAAAUUGUCAUUACAAUUUUUUGAAAAAAAACACCCCCACCUUCCUUCUUUUCAUACACUAAGUUGGUCCAGUAAAUUACUUACAAAGUGUCUUGUAUUUUUCAUACACCGUUAUAGGAUGGUAACUAUUCAUGUUUGUCUUACUUUAUGCAGUUUGAGUAAUUUGUUUAUUGUGUAUGGAUAAUAUUUAGUACGGUUUAUAUCUAGAUUAAUUAGAGAGUUUUAUUUCACAUUCUAAAUGAGCCGUAGGGCGUAUUAAAACAUGAAGGCAUUAAAAAGGUAUAUCAGUUUGGUCGGUAAACUAGGAUGCUAAAUUUUGCAAAUCUUUAAAAAAAAAAAAAAUUGUUUUAUGGUAUGUAAGUAGUAUAAUGCAAAUUUUGAGGUUUUUCUUGUCGUUGAACAUACCUCGGGAUGUCAGGAUUGCUUACUCGAUCAAUCCUCACACCCCUCGCUAUGUUCUACGACAGGAAAAACCUUAUAAUAUGCAUUGUCUAUAACGUAAUAAAAACAAGAUGAAAACAAGAAUAAGUUUAUGCGUCCGAACUGGUUUUUCAGAAACGUUCAUAGCCAAAUAUAUCAAAGCCGUAAAUGCAUGUUUAAGUUCCUAAACAUUGGAAAAGGUAAACGACAAAUAAAAUACAUAAACAAUAGCCAAAUCUAUCUAAGGUCAACUUUGCCUCAAGGAGUGAAAUCUAAGUUUCUUUAUAAUUUUAAAAUUUAUAAAUGAACAUAUUCUCAAAUUGCCUGAAGUAUAUUGAAAAUAUCUGUUGAUAUUAUUCCUUUUUACAAAGACACCGACCUGUAUUUUACUAUUAAUUUCAAGAGUUAAAUUAUCCAUAUAGCCUCAAUAUUACUUAGUUGAUUAUUGAUGCGUAUCCCUUGUUAAUCAAGAAAAUAAUUAUACAUGUAGCUAUUAAAUACAACAUGUGUUGAACAUUGUUGAUUACAGGUGGUCAAGUAUGGUGUACCUGUCGUAAGGGACAAUGUUUUAAAGGAGAAUUUGUUUUGGACAAGUAUUGCAGACUAACACCCUUAUUCCCAGGGAAAUGGACUACAUGCAGCAAGGUGUUACCAGGAAGUGUAACUGAUCGUAGUUACGGGGGAGGUGGUGGAGCUGGAUUCGGUGGCGGUGCUGGAAUCGGCGGUGGAGCUGUAAUUGUAGUUGGAUCUGGUGGAAGAGCUGGAUUCGGAGGAGGAUCUGGUGGUGUUGGCAAAUCUGGAUAUGGUGGAGGAUCUGGUUAUGGUGGAGGAUCCGGGUAUGGAAGUGGAUCUGGAUAUGGAGGUAGAAAAGGAAGUACAUACUAAACAAAAUUUGUCUAACAGAAGUUAUUUAGCAAAUGAAUGUGUUUUCUGAUAUAUGUUAAAAUACAAUUAAAACAUAUUCAUGCACAAUGUUUGUUUUUUGUAUUUUAAAUGUUGAAACAAACGUUGUUGUUUUUAUUUUGUUGAAAUAACGAUACAUACAUAAUAAUGUUUCCAUCUAAAGUAAGAUGAAAGCUUUCAAAGAUUUCAAUUAACAAUUUUUUUGAAAAUUAAAAUGAUGUUCUUUAAACCUGAGUUACUAUUGGUUUUCCUCGUCGUUUUUUGUUGCACGUCAAAAGGAUUUGAAUACCAAUCAAGCGUUUCAUCCAUAAUUUGUUGUCUUAAGGUGGUAUGGGAGUCUAAAAUAAAAAAAUGAUAGAAUUUGUUCAUACUUUUCCAAAACCUAGUAUCUUUGAUAUAUGGUCAAAAACAUAAAAAAUAAUAGGUAACCGCGCAUUUUCUCAAGCUACAGGUUGUGACAGAUUGACACAUUUUGUAUGGAUUACAUAGGAAAAAACACCAUGUCGUGAUAUUAAACUAAACAGAAUGAUAGAACUGUAAAAGAAAUUAGAAUAAGAAUAGAUUUCAGACAAUGCUUUGAGAAUAUCAAAAGAAAAUAUAGGGUCACCGUACUUUUUUCCGACUGAAAAACAAAAUAGGAAAAAUCUAUGUAGAUUUCUUCAGAAAAUGCAAUGGUUUAGAGUUACAUCCCCUUCAAAUGCCAAUCUAAAAACAUUUAAAAAACAACCAAGUAUAAUAUAAACUUGUAAAAAGUAUUAAUGUUUAUAAGUUGUAUUCUUAUAGAUUGGUUCUUUUAACUGAAAAUUCACAUGAGAUAUCUGCAUUCCUGUAUCAAGUUUUGCUAACUUGAUAGAAAAUCUGGACCUUAGAUUCUCUGGUUUUUACAAUCCAAAAUGGCGAAAGACACCCAUACUACAUUAAAAACACUUCCCAAAACAUUCAAAAUCUGAAUUUCAAAAAGUCCUCCCACUGUUUCCACUGUCAUCAUCUUAUGGCGUUUAGAUAUCUCAACUUGUUCUUUUUUCUCGUCUUUUAACAACGUAUUUGAUUUUAACAAAAGAAAUACCUGUAUUACUGAAAAAUUAUUACACCACGGUUUUCAAUAUUUGCAAAGUAGUCAAAACAUCUUCUAAAAUGUUUCUUUGGUACAAUUAUUAAGAGCAUUAUUCAUAGAUAUCAAUCAACAUGCAUUCAUCUUAUAUACUUUUCUUCUCUUAUAAAUUGUUACUUGGAUUGAGAGGUGUUUCAUUGGCAUUCAUAUUACAUCUUACUAUAGCUAUAUCAAAUCUGUUAUGGUAAUAUACUACACAAACCACAAACAAAAUCACAGAGUGGACGUGGCCGGGUAUUUGAAUAUCCCAACAACAUAAAGACAUCAAGUACAGAUCUUAGAGUAUUUGCAGUAACUGAAAGCUAGUUCAAAGCUAACAACAACUAAUACAAAUAAAAAAUGCAAUUGAGGCUAACUUAAUAAUCAUUACACAUCUAACAUCCAAUUGAUUAAGUUUAAAGACGUCUUAUGGUGUACUGUUACACCACUACCCUUGUAUAAGGGGAGGGUGUGUAUUCCGCUAACAUGUUUAACCCCGCCUGUAAUUCAGCGGUUGUCGUUUGUUUAUGUGUUACAUAUUGUUUUUCGUUAAUUAUUUGUACAUAAACUAGUGCCGUUAGUUUUAUCGUUUUAAUUGUUUUACAUUGUCAUUUCGGAGCCUUUUAUAGCUGACUAUGCGGUAUGGGCUUUGUUUAUUGUUGGAGGCCAUACAAUGGUCUAUAGUGGCUAAUUUCUGUGUCGUUUUGGUCUCUUAUGGAGAGUUGUCUCAUUGGCAAUCAUACCACAUCUUCUUCUUUUUCAUAUAAGCACUCAGAAAAAAAAAACUUUACUUUAUGCAAUGCCAAAAUACAGAUAACAACUGAUUGUAUAGAUCCAUGAAUGUAUAUACGUAUAUGCAUAGCAAUAAUAUAUAGUUUGAUUUUAAUUUAAUAAAAACAAAAUCAAUGAAUAACACCAAUAAAACAAAUUAAAGAUAAAAUAACACUGUUACAGUGGUAAUCUUUAACAAUAAGUUUAUCUAAAGGAUCGAUAGGUUUACCAGGAUCAUUUUAAAUAUCCGAGCUCGAUAUACAAUAUCUCCGUAAAAAUGAGAAUGAAUUAUUCCGUUAAAAUACGUUUUUAAAACAAAAUAUUUAUAUCCAAUGGAGAAUAAAGUAAAAGUUUUAAGUUAUAUGUGGUAACGAAAUUCCUAACUUAUUAAUUUACGAGUUAUAAAUAUAUUAAUUUCGAUUACAUCUAAAACGUCGUGACAAACACGGUCAUAGCGAACGAAUUGUAAAAUAUAAACACCAUAAGAUAGUGCCAAACGAAUAUCUACAUAUAAGUCAUUAUUCACGUUUACAUUUGAUUUGUUUAAAUUAAGUUUCUUUGUGUACAUUUCGGCAGUAAUUUUUGAAAAAUCUUGAUGAUUCAACGAAAACAUAUCAUUAAAAUAACGGUAAGUGUUGUUGGAAAAAUCAAUUUCGCUGGGGUCUUUACCGUUUUUUGUUUAUAAUCUGUGCUUCAUAAGAGUACAAAAUAUAAGUUUGCUAUUAAAGGAGCGAAAUAAAUGGCUUUUGGAAAACCUACAAUCCGUCGAUAAACUUUGUUGCUAAAACGUACAUAAAAAUUAUUAAGGAGAAAUUUAACAGCUUGAAUCAUCUCACCUCCAUUUAGUAUUUCAAGUAUAUUUACUUUCUUCGUUAGAGAAGAAUGCUCUAAUUGAGAUACAGCCAAUUAUUUGCAUUCAGAUUGACCAAUGAACAUUAGACAGUGAGGUUUUAGGUUAAAUUAGAGUCAGGUACCAAUUCACUCUUAUAUGAUGCCUACUGACUUGACAUAACUUAUCAACGUGUAAGUAUGUAUGUUAUAGCAUAAUAAUGUGUGUUGCAAGUGAAUUUGGAAAUGCCUCCUUUCAAGAUUGCAUGAGAUUACUUAUGAUUUGUUUAUUUGUUUCUCAAUUUGUGCCAUUGCAUUAACAGUUAGUUGUCGAAUUAUUUUAUUUUUGCCGAUGCUUUUUUCACGAUCAAAAUAAACUUGAUGAGUAUAUCAACCUGAAUUUGCAUUAUACAAUGCUUAUUGAGUAUACAGAUACUCACACGUCUUUGGCAUUCGUAUAUUUUGGUUAGAGCGAUCCUGUUCAAAGUAAAUUAAAAAAAGCGAUAUUCUGAAUAUAUAAAUGCAUGGUGGUUUAUUCAUCUUAAAUAUUAACAACUAAUUCUUAUAUUAUUUGCAUUUAAUGCAAUACAUUUAUAUGAUUGGUUGAGAGGACUUCCGGUAGUGGAUUUGCCGUUGUUUUUUUGUUUGUUUUUUUUUCGCUAGAAGACGUUAACCGAACUAAUUAUUGUAACGAAUGUAAACAAGAUGGGGGCAAUUAUAUCACAAUCCGGUUGGACGUUGAAAUUAUUUAUUUUCACUUCGUGUUGACCGAUAAAUUUAAUGAUAAACACACAACAUUCAUUACAAUGAUUAUAAGAUAUGUUUUAGUUUUUUUUUAAUCAUCAUACAGCAAAAUACAAUGACUACAUAUUUUUGCGUUAACCAACAAAUAUAUGCAUGUGCCAGACCAGAGCAUGGACAAAUAAAUUCCUUAUCACACAUUUUAAAGAACAAUCAGGAUUAAACGCCUUUUAAAAGUAUUUAAUUGGUGUAUGAACUGGAACUAGUCACUCACAAACAUAUCAUUAAAAUCCUUUGAAUAUGUUUUUGUAUUUGAGCGAAUUGGUCGAGUUUAUACACAAAUACAUUCCUUUAAAAAGGCGUUUAAUCCUAUAAUGGUACAAACGGGCUUUCAAUAUCAUAUGUCGAAAAUUAACCUGUAAAGACAUGGUUAAGAAAAGAAAAUACAAACAGAAAACAGACGAACGAUAUUAUAGUAUAAAACACAACAAGGAAAACUAAAGAAUUUCGUGAUCUCGGUUGCUAAGGAACAGUAAGCAAACGCUUGAUCACAAAUGGCAUCAGACGUAUUGCUUAUGGUAGUACAAACUUAGUUUUAUAUUUCAUUCGGUAGGUCAUCUUCGUACAAAUAAAAUGGGAUUGUAGCAACGACAGUUUUCAAACAAUAUUCGCUAUAAUCUGUGAAACGGAUAUUCCAUAACUAUCAACCAAAUAUAUAUUACAGAAAACUAUACAACUGACUAAACAAUUAUAACAAACACACAAACAUAAAUUUCCCAUGAGUACUCUGACUAAUGCGAAAUCAUAAGAUACUAAACGAUUGCACGUAGCAAUACAAUAUUCGAUUAAGGUCAAUACCAUUUAUCAGCUCAGGGACACACUCUUUUUAUAUUAAAAUAAAAAUAAGGAAAGAAAUUACAUGACCAUCCGUCACUUCUAAUUGGCAUACAAAAGCGAUUGAGUUCAGUUUAUCUUCCUGCUGAUAACAGAAAUACAUGAUUGGUGUUUUAAAAAGCAUGUAGACAUUUAUUUCUUUUUUUCUAUUAGAUGAUUUGGAUUGAUUUGGGGAACUUAAUUAGGUGUUGUCUGAUAAUUGUUGACUUAUAAGUUUGAAUGUGCCUCUGUUAUCUUGUGCCCCUCUUUGACAAAAAAAAAUCAAAAUGCUCCUCAUUCAAAAAUGUGUAUUCGUGUUUUAUCAAAAUACAUGAAUUAAAAUGGAUGUUUGCUAUUUAAAAGUGUAAUUCUAUUGUCUUUGGACUAGUUUUUAUUCCUUUUUUUACUACUUUUUGGUGUUUAGAAGUAAUUAAGGAAAAACUAAUAUUUUUUCUGUCUAUGAAGAAAUAACAUUAAAAAAUUUGGUGCACACUGAAUAACGCGCGUAGCGGGGUUAUAACAGUGUGCACACCACAUUUUUAUUUAUUUCGAAUAGACAGAAAAAAAAUAUUACAGUCAUUUUCUAUAAUUUUAAUUCUAAUUCAUUUAAACCGUAGAAAACCAUGAAAAAACGUUGAUGACUUCACGAUCACAUGACUAAAUUAUGUCUAUGGGCUCAUAACAAAAUAACGUCAGCCAAUCAGAAGACCCGUUACAUCCAAAAUUAAAGUAUUGUUAAAUAAUGGGAAGAACUUUUACGAUAAAAUAAAUAGCAAUGUUUAUAUUUUGGAUGAAAAUUUUUCAACCUCGGUAUUGAUGUUAUACUCUUCAACUUUGUGUUUCUUUGGCUUUAUUGCUAUUAUGAUCUGAGCAUCAAUGAUGAGUCUUAUGUAGACGAAACGCGCGUCUGACUAAUUGAAUUAGUAACCUUGUAUCAAUAAUACUAUAUACUGAUUUUAUUUUUUUUUUGUACUUUCAAUUCUCAUUUAUGAUUGAUAAGAUUUCACCAAUUGUAUAUUGUUUGACUGGGAAAUGUUAAAAUGGGUUGGUAUGCAUCAUAAACCAAUGGAGAAAAAAGCAAUAUGAACAUUAGGUGAUUUUUAAAAUCCAGUCGGAUGCCUGACAUGGAUUUUAUUUGAAGUCAUUAUAUGUAAGAUACCGCGACAAGUAUAUAAGUACAUGCAUAUUCCUCGUUCUCAUAUGAUUCGUAUAUCUCCAGUGUUCCCGAUGAAGAUAAUGAAGACAAAUGAGCUUCACUUUGUUUGUUUUACAGAUGUCAGCAAUUUAUUUAUUUUAUUUUCAAUAUGUUAUUUGUUUUAUUGAUGUUACUUUUGUUAUUGAUUAUUUCAUGUAAAAAGCAAAAUCACAAAAAUACUGAACUCCGAGGAAUUUUUAAAAACAAAAGCUCCUAGUCAAGUGAUAAAACAUAUCAAACAAAUGGACAACAACUGUCAUAUUCCUCACUUGGUACAGGCAUUUCUAAAUGUAGAAAAUGGUGGAUUUAACCUGGUUUUAAAGCGUUUAAUCUCUCAGUAAGACAGUUGCAUCAAAUACAAUUAUAUUUACAUCGAUGCGUGAAAAAAAACAGACAUAAUAGGUAAAAUUGGCAUUGUCAUCACUGUGUCACAAUCUCACAAUACAAACCAAUGUUGAACAAAAAAGCACAAAAACGUCUAUUAAAUUUAACAACCACAGUGCCUACUUAUAUUUGUAUUCUAAAUCAACCCAAAACGGAUUAGAAUAUUUGAAGUCCUCGCGUGCAUGACGUCAGAAAAUGUAAACGUAACACAGGAAAAAAUACAAAAUAAUUUUGUCGUCCAAAGUAUUUCGAAAUUAAAAUUUCACAUGGGAAAUGGUGGUCUAAACGGUUGAAAAAUCAAAAGUUUUGUUUGAACUAAUUUCACUUUAAAAAGACCGAGAUUAAAAACUAUCCAGUAGUUCUUCAGAUUUGUGAAGAAUCCACAUACGGUUAAAACCACUACACACGUUAAAUGAUUUUGUCGUUCCAAGUAUUUCCAACACGAUAAUAGAACAAUAACAUAAUAACAUUAUAAUAGAACAAUACGAUUUUGGUGGAAUCUUUAAAAGUACAGAGCCAUGUCAUGUAUACAAAAGAUACACAAAAAGUCAUACGAAGUAAAAAAAAACACCAGCAAAAGUGAAAGAUUAUGCAAACACAUUGAAGGAUGGAUAUGUUUCCAGCAACAACAAAUGGAAGAAAGACAACUACACAUAAAAGAACAAUAUUACGUAUAUUAGGAAUUAUUACUUCCCAACAAAUAAGCCUACAUAAUGUAAUACAUUUUUUUUUGUAUUUAGAAUAGUGAUGUAAUCAUGUAUUAGAUUAUGAUAAGAAGAACAUAGGGUAUACAUGUAAUAUCAAAGUUUGAUAACAUUGUUUCUGUAAUCAAACAUCUCACUUUCAUCAUUAGCAAUACAACAUCUCACUUUCAUCAUUAGCAAUACAACAUCUCACUUUCAUCUUUAGCAAUACAACAUCUCACUUUCAUCAUUAGCAAUACAACAUCUCACUUUUAUCUUUAGCAAUACAACAUCUCCCUUUCAUCAUUAGCAAUACAAUUAAGAAUGUACACCUCUGAGGAGCCAAUAGAGGCAACGGUAGUAUACCGCUGUUCAAAACUCGUUAAUCCAUGGACAAAAAACAAAAUCGGGGUAAAACUAAAAACUGAGGGAAACGCAUUAAAUAAAAGAGAACAACGACACAACAUUAAAAUGUAACACACACAGAAGCGGACUAAGCAUUAGACAAAAUCCGAUGAGAAUAGCCAAUAUAACAUCAAAACCAAAUAAAAUGAAUUUGGGAUAGAAAAGUACCGUGACACGUGAAACGAACUAUGACUUGGUACAGGACAUUUUUAAAGAAAAAACGGUGGGUUGAACCCGGUUUUGUGGCAUGCCAAACCCUGCACUUUAAUGGCAUUGUUAAAUAUAACAUUAAAAUGACAACAUAAUAAUACACGACUACAAUACAAACAAAUAGGAGAACGUAGUAGGGAAAGAAAUAUACAAACAAUAUAUAACAAAAGGCAUCAGGUUUAAAAUUCAAUACGUCAAACAUUUCUAGAAAUAUUUUGUUUUUCUAAACCUGAUUUUUGGGUUUAUAUAACUGUAAAACAAUAAUUGGUGUAGAAAACUUCAUAUGGUGGUGCACUUCUUUUUCUGUUACACGAAAAAGCAUAAAAAAUGAUAAAACUUUCUUAUAUUAACACCUACCUUUAGUAAUUUUAUCAUUUUUUAUGCUUUUUCGUGUCGAAUUUACCAUGUUGUCAAUUUUGUAAAUUUGUGAUUUUUCUCAGUUUAAAGACCAAAAUGCAAAUUAUUUGAAAUUCUUUGUUAUAAAUGAUUGAAAAAAUACAUAUCUAAGAAAUUUGAAAAAAUAAAAAGUCAUAUGGGAUGGACAUGUUUCUGGUAAAGUCAAUUUUUGUAACCCUCGCCCAUUUCUUCAAAAUUUUGGCUAAAAAGACUGACUAGUUUAGUAAUAAAAUUUGAAAAUGUUAUUACUCAAAAAUUGCUCAUUGGAAAUACACAAUUUGUUCAGAGUUAAGUUUGAUUCCAUGUUUUGGAAAUAUAUUCAGAACGAGAUUUCAAUGAGACUGACAGAGACUAAAACAUCAAAAGAAUAUACCCUUAAUAAGGUUUCAAAAUAUCUAAUUUUCCUCAACUAAAAGAGAAAAUGUUUCCAUUACUCAUCAAAGGAAGGUAACUUCAAAGCUGAGAAUGACAUAAUAUUUCAAUUGAUUGUUGUAAAAAACUAAGGUCAUGCCGAAUCACUUAUAAUCAAUCAAGUUUAAUUGAUUUAGUAUUAUCAAUCCUAAUCAAAGAAGUUGUGUUUACAUCCAAUGGUAUAAAUACAGAUCUAAACAGCUGUAUCACCACAGUUAAAAUCGUCAACCCUCAGUCAUCAUGGCUUUUAUAACUUUGCUGCUUUUGAGUGUUGUCGGAUCUGCAUUUUGUCAUGGCCCAUAUGCUGGUGGAGGCGGAGUACAGUGGUGGGUAUGUGUAGCGGCGGCGGAGUAUUGUUAUUAGACGGUGGAUUAGAGAGGAGGAGGAGGUGGUGGUGGUUGGGGAAAAGGAGGUAAGUUAAUGCUACUGUAUUUUAGUUUUAAACUAUAAUUAUGUCACUUCUUCUUUGAUUUGUAUAUAUUUCAUAUUGUGUAAGAUUAUUCCAAAGUUGAUUGCUCUAUCGUUUUUUAAUUUUUUUCAAGGAUAUGGUGGUGGAAGCGGCGGAGGUUAUAGUGUUGGGUAUGGCGGCGGUGGUGGCGGAGGAUUUGGAUCUGGCAUUGGUGGUGGUGGACUAUUGGUAUUAGGAGGAAGCGGCGGAGGCGGAGGUGGUGGAGGAAAAAAGGGUAAAUAAAUGUUACAGUAUUUUAAUUAUGUAUUACCAGUACGUAAGAAUCUUGUGAAAAUGUACAACUAUAAAACUAACUCCAUCAACAUGAUGAAGUUUAAGAGAAGCAAUGUUACCGACAAUUGAUAAAGUACAGCGAGUGUAUAAUUGUUAUAAAAGUAAUGCAUUUAUUGAGCUAAAUCGAUUGCUCUAUGCAUGCUCGUGUACAUCUGUAUGCAUGAAAACCUCAAAUAAAGUUACCAUUUUUCUUUUAAAAUGAUAUUGGAAUUGUAAAAAAAUAGAUUAUAAAUUAACUUUAUAUACCUAUAUGGAGUUAUUUUCUUUCAGAAAGAUAGGUAAUUCUUUCGAAGGAUCAACCCGGACGAUACCAUGUUUCAAAGAAAUAUGCUCCAAGGCAUAAAAUAACGACCAGUGUGAGGUCAUUAUUUUUCUUGGUGUAAAUGCAAACUAUGAUUUACUUCAAAAUCAUAUUCGUCUGAUAGUUUUUUGUUGACAAAAAUUCAAUCAAUGAUAGGUGUAAAAAAAAUAGCCCGCAUUUUAAUUCAGAAACAAAAACUGUGAAGUUUUGUUAAUAUAUCGCUACAAUACAGAGACAUUGGCAUAUAUUAUGUUAGAUUAAUUUAAAUGUUAAACUUUCACGAUACUUUCAAAUAAAGCAAUAUAACAUAUAAUUUUGUAUGAUUUUGAAAAUCUUAUUGAUUUUGAAAAUUUGGUUGGGUUGAUCAAUGCCAUGCAUAUACUAUAGAAAUCAUAGUUAUACAUGUUAAUUCUUUUUCGUUUAACAUGUACAUGUAUCACUAUUUCAGUCCCCUUUCAUGUCAGUUUUUAUUUUUUAAAUUUAUGCAUAUCUUUUACUCUAUCAAAUGGUCAACUAAUAAAAUAUUCAUAUAUUCUAUUGUAGAAAAUGCAUGUAUACCUCACCAUGGGGUCGGUAGAGUGGAGUGUAUAUAAUUAUAUAUUAAUUAUCUGUUAAAAAUGUAUUGCCUUUCAAAAGAAGAUCAUUCUGAAUAUUUCAUUCGAUUCAAUUAAAAUUGAUUAAAAAAUAAUUACUUUUCCGCAAUAGAAUUGUCAUUACAAAUUUUCAAAAAAACCAAACCAACCCCCACCACCCCCUUUCUUUCCAUACACUAAGUUGGUCCAGUAAAUUACUUACAAAGUGUCUUGUAUUUUUCAUACACCGUUAUCAGAUGGUAACUAUUCAUUUUUGUCUUACCUUAUGCGGUUGUAGUAAUUUGUUUAUUGUGUAUGGAUAAUAAUUAGUACGGUUUAUAUCUAGAUUAAUUAGUGCGUUUUAUUUCACAUUCUAAAUGAGCCGUAGGGCGUAUUAAGAUAUGAACGCAUCAGAAAGGAAUAUCAGUUUGGUCGGUAAACUAGGGUGCUAAAAUUUGCAAAUCUUUUAAAAAACAAUCAAUUGUUGUAUGGUAUAUAAGUAAUAUAAUGCACAUUUUGAGGUUUUUCUUGUCGUAGAACAAACCUCGGGAUGUCAGGAUUGCUUUAAGAAAGACCUCAUUACGGUCGGUCUUUCAUUUGAUCAAUCCUUACACCCCUCGCUGUGUUCUACGACAAGAAAAACCUUAAAAUAUGCAUUAUAUAUAACGUAAUAAAAAAGAUGAAAACAAUAAUAAGUUCAUGCAUCCGAACCGGUUUCUUCAGAAACGGUCAUAGCCAAAUAUACGAAAGCCGUAAAUGCUGACUUCAUGCAGGAACUUCUUAGGAAGAAAGAUAAGAAGUUAGCAAUAUCCUUUAACUCUACUUUCCGCUAUAUAGAUGAUGUUCUUUCACUAAAUAAUUCAACAUUUGGUGACAUGUUGUCCCUUCGGUAUCUUUCGUGCCUCUUUUAAGUUCCUGAACAUUGGAAAGAGGUAAACGACAAAACAAAAUACAUAAACAAUAGCCAAAUAUAUAUAAGGUCAACUUUGCCUCAGGAGUUGAAACCUAAGUUUCUUCAUAACUUCAAAGUUUAUAAAUGAACAUAUUCUCAAUUUGCCUGAAGUAUAUUGAAAAUAUGUGUUGCUAUUGUUCCAUUUCACAAUACACCGAUCGGUAUUCUACUAUUAAUAUCAAGAGUAGAAUUAUCUAUAUAGCCUCAUUAUUGCUUAGUUGAUUUUUUAUGCCUAUCCCUUGUUCAUCAAUAAAAUAAUUAUACUUGUAACUAUUAAAUACAAUAUGUGUUGAACAUUGUUGAUUACAGGUGGUCAAGUAUGGUGUACCUGUCAUAAAGGACAAUGUUUUAAAGGAGAAUUUGUUUUGGACAAGUAUUGCAGACUAACACCCUUAUUCCCAGGGAAAUGGACUACAUGCUGUAAGGUGUUACCAGGAAGUGUAACUAACCGUAGUUACGGGGGAGGUGGUAGAGCUGGAUUCGGUGGUGGUGGUGGAUUCGGUGGCGGUGCUGGAAUCGGCGGUGGAGCUGUAGUUGUAGUUGGAUCUGGUGGAGGAGCUGGAUUCGGAGGAGGAUCUGGUGGUGGUGGCAAAUCUGGAUAUGGUGGAGGAUCUGGUUAUGGUGGAGGAUCCGGGUAUGGAAGUGGAUCUGGAUAUGGAGGUAGAAAAGGAAGUACAUACUAAACAAGAUUUGUCUAACAGAAGUUAUUUAGCAAAUGAAUGUGUUUUCUGAUAUAUGUAAAAAUACAAUUAAAACAUAUUCAUGCAAAAUGUUUAUUUUUAUUAUUAUUGUUGAAACAAACGUUGUUG